This 433-nucleotide ribosomal RNA is filed under the name uncultured bacterium. Its description in RNAcentral is "partial 16S ribosomal RNA". It matches the Rfam family "Bacterial small subunit ribosomal RNA", at positions 29 to 507 of the family's 1533-position model. The record is from RNAcentral.
AACGAACGCUGGCGGCAGGCCUAACACAUGCAAGUCGAGCGAGGACUUCGGUUCUAGCGGCGGACGGGUGAGUAACGCGUGGGAAUGUGCCCUUCUCUACGGAAUAGCCCUGGGAAACUGGUAGUAAUACCGUAUACGCCCUAUUGGGGAAAGAUUUAUCGGAGAAGGAUCAGCCCGCGUUGGAUUAGGUAGUUGGUGGGGUAAUGGCCUACCAAGCCGACGAUCCAUAGCUGGUUUGAGAGGAUGAUCAGCCACACUGGGACUGAGACACGGCCCAGACUCCUACGGGAGGCAGCAGUGGGGAAUCGUAGACAAUGGGGGCAACCCUGAUCUAGCCAUGCCGCGUGAGUGAUGAAGGCCUUAGGGUUGUAAAGCUCUUUCAGCUGGGAAGAUAAUGACGGUACCAGCAGAAGAAGCCCCGGCUAACUCCGUG